UAGUACGGCUAGUGAAGCGGGAACAGCUCAAAUUUGAAAUCUGGCCCUUGGGUCCGAGUUGUAAUUUGCAGAGGAUGCUUUUGGUGCGGUGCCUUCCGAGUUCCCUGGAACGGGACGCCUUAGAGGGUGAGAGCCCCGUACGGUUGGACACCAAGCCUAUGUAAAGCUCCUUCGACGAGUCGAGUAGUUUGGGAAUGCUGCUCAAAAUGGGAGGUAUAUUUCUUCUAAAGCUAAAUAUUGGCCAGAGACCGAUAGCGCACAAGUAGAGUGAUCGAAAGAUGAAAAGCACUUUGAAAAGAGGGUUAAAUAGCACGUGAAAUUGUUGAAAGGGAAGGAUUUAUGACCAGACUUUUUCUGGGGGGAUCAUCCGGUGUUCUCACCGGUGCACUUCCCCCAGUUGAGGCCAGCAUCGGUUUCUGUCGAGGGAUAAAAGCUUUAGGAAUGUGGCUCUCUCCGGGGAGUGUUAUAGCCUGUUGCAUAAUACCUUGACGGGGACCGAGGUUCGCGCAUUGCAAGGAUGCUGGCGUAAUGGUUAUUAAUCACCCGUCUUGAAACACGGACCAAGGAGUCGAACAUUUGUGCGAGUGUUUGGGUGUUAAACCCUCACGCGUAAUGAAAGUGAACGGAGGUGAGAGCCUUUAGGGGUGCAUCAUCGACCGAUCCUGAUGUCUUCGGAUGGAUUUGAGUAAGAGCAUAACUGUUCGGACCCGAAAGAUGGUGAACUAUGCGUGGAUAGGGUGAAGCCAGAGGAAACUCUGGUGGAGGCUCGCAGCGGUUCUGACGUGCAAAUCGAUCGUCAAAUCUGCGCAUGGGGGCGAAAGACUAAUCGAACCAUUGACCAGCGGUCAAAACAAUCACUAGGUGGUUAAGAGGGGGUCCGCGAGGACCAUUUGAAAACCUAGGCUGAGCCCGGUUACCCUGUAGGUUACCCUGUAGCUACCCUGUAGCUUACCUGGUAGCUUACCCGGUACCGGUCCGGCCGACACCGCUAAAUGCGGGACAUCCCUUUAC
Molecule: ribosomal RNA, 1011 nt
Filed under: Arthrinium phaeospermum
Lineage: Eukaryota; Fungi; Ascomycota; Sordariomycetes; Amphisphaeriales; Apiosporaceae
Description: LSU rRNA
Rfam family: Eukaryotic large subunit ribosomal RNA
Source: RNAcentral